Molecule: ribosomal RNA, 468 nt
Filed under: uncultured bacterium
Lineage: Bacteria
Description: partial 16S ribosomal RNA
Rfam family: Bacterial small subunit ribosomal RNA
Source: RNAcentral
GAUGAACGCUGGCGGCGUGCUUAACACAUGCAAGUCGAACGGAAAGGCCCUGCUUUUGUGGGGUGCUCGAGUGGCGAACGGGUGAGUAACACGUGAGUAACCUGCCCUUGACUUUGGGAUAACUUCAGGAAACUGGGGCUAAUACCGGAUAGGAGCUCCUGCUGCAUGGUGGGGGUUGGAAAGUUUCGGCGGUUGGGGAUGGACUCGCGGCUUAUCAGCUUGUUGGUGGGGUAGUGGCUUACCAAGGCUUUGACGGGUAGCCGGCCUGAGAGGGUGACCGGCCACAUUGGGACUGAGAUACGGCCCAGACUCCUACGGGAGGCAGCAGUGGGGAAUAUUGCACAAUGGGCGGGAGCCUGAUGCAGCAACGCCGCGUGCGGGAUGACGGCCUUCGGGUUGUAAACCGCUUUCGCCUGUGACGAAGCGUGAGUGACGGUAAUGGGUAAAGAAGCACCGGCUAACUACGUG